GACGAACGCUGGCGGCGUGCCUAAUACAUGCAAGUAGAACGCUGAAGGAGGAGCUUGCUUCUCUGGAUGAGUUGCGAACGGGUGAGUAACGCGUAGGUAACCUGCCUGGUAGCGGGGGAUAACUAUUGGAAACGAUAGCUAAUACCGCAUAAGAGUAGAUGUCGCAUGACAUUUGCUUAAAAGGUGCAAUUGCAUCACUACCAGAUGGACCUGCGUUGUAUUAGCUAGUUGGGGAGGUAACGGCUCACCAAGGCAACGAUACAUAGCCGACCUGAGAGGGUGAUCGGCCACACUGGGACUGAGACACGGCCCAGACUCCUACGGGAGGCAGCAGUAGGGAAUCUUCGGCAAUGGACGGAAGUCUGACCGAGCAACGCCGCGUGAGUGAAGAAGGUUUUCGGAUCGUAAAGCUCUGUUGUAAGAGAAGAACGAGUGUGAGAGUGGAAAGUUCACACUGUGACGGUAUCUUACCAGAAAGGGACGGCUAACUACGUG
Molecule: ribosomal RNA, 495 nt
Filed under: uncultured bacterium
Lineage: Bacteria
Description: partial 16S ribosomal RNA
Rfam family: Bacterial small subunit ribosomal RNA
Source: RNAcentral